GGUGGCUCAGUGGUAAAGCACUUGCCUUGCAUGCAUGAGGUCCUGGGUUCAAUUCCUCAGCACCA
RNAcentral lists this transfer RNA (65 nucleotides) under Dipodomys ordii (Ord's kangaroo rat). It matches the Rfam family "tRNA". Rfam says of the family: Transfer RNA (tRNA) molecules are approximately 80 nucleotides in length. Their secondary structure includes four short double-helical elements and three loops (D, anti-codon, and T loops). Lineage: Eukaryota; Metazoa; Chordata; Mammalia; Rodentia; Heteromyidae. The record is from Rfam by way of RNAcentral.